UGUACACGCUGUGACUAGCAUAUCAAUAAGCGGAGGAAAAGAAACUAACAAGGAUUCCCCUAGUAACGGCGAGUGAAGCGGGAAGAGCUCAAAUUUGAAAUCUUAAAGGGUUUCCCUUUACGAAUUGUAGUUUAAAGAAGUGUUUUCUGUUGAGGUUUUGGUAAAAGUUCUUUGGAAUAGGACAUCAUAGAGGGUGAGAAUCCCGUAUUUGACCUUUACUUUCAACUUUGUGAUACACUUUCAAAGAGUCGGAUUGUUUGGGAAUGCAGUCCAAAAUGGGUGGUAAAUUUCAUCUAAAGCUAAAUAUUGGCGAGAGACCGAUAGCGAACAAGUACCGUGAGGGAAAGAUGAAAAGAACUUUGAAAAGAGAGUUAAACAGUACGUGAAAUUGUCAAAAGGGAAGCGUUUGACACCAGUGUUGUUUUUCUGAAAAUCAAUUAAAGAACUGUUUAGUGCUAAGCUGUUUAGACUUUAUCAGCUAUCUGUUUAGUUUUGAGCUUUUCUUUAAUGCACUUUUCAGUUAACAAGUCAACAUCAAUUUCUUUUGCUGUAAAAAAGCUUGAGGAAGGUGGCUUGAGAUUCGUCUUAAGUGUUUAUAGCCUCUUGCCUAUGCAGUCGGAGAGAUUGAGGUCUGCAGCGUAGAUCCUUCGGGGCUAAAUGCAUUUGUGCUAAGUUAUAGCAUUUUAUAGACAACUUGUUGACUAUGAUUUGUCUUGUAGCUUACUCGCUUAUGUUAUUUUACCUACGCUUAGGAUGUUGAUAUGCAUGACUGAUAU
RNAcentral lists this ribosomal RNA (776 nucleotides) under uncultured Neocallimastigales. Its description in RNAcentral is "partial large subunit ribosomal RNA". It matches the Rfam family "Eukaryotic large subunit ribosomal RNA", at positions 22 to 640 of the family's 3401-position model. The record is from RNAcentral. Lineage: Eukaryota; Fungi; Neocallimastigomycota; Neocallimastigomycetes; Neocallimastigales.